Molecule: ribosomal RNA, 168 nt
Filed under: uncultured bacterium
Lineage: Bacteria
Description: partial 16S rRNA
Rfam family: Bacterial small subunit ribosomal RNA
Source: RNAcentral
UAGGGAAUCUUCCACAAUGGGCGAAAGCCUGAUGGAGCAACGCCGCGUGUGUGAUGAAGGGUUUCGGCUCGUAAAACACUGUUGUAAGAGAAGAAUGACAUUGAGAGUAACUGUUCAAUGUGUGACGGUAUCUUACCAGAAAGGAACGGCUAAAUACGUGCCAGCAGC